GCCGGGAUGGUGGAAUAGGUAGACACAAAGGACUUAAAAUCCUUCGGCAGUAAUGCUGUGCCGGUUCGACCCCGGUUCCCGGCA
This 84-nucleotide transfer RNA is filed under the name Spirochaetaceae bacterium. RNAcentral's name for it is "tRNA-Leu". It matches the Rfam family "tRNA". Rfam says of the family: Transfer RNA (tRNA) molecules are approximately 80 nucleotides in length. Their secondary structure includes four short double-helical elements and three loops (D, anti-codon, and T loops). Lineage: Bacteria; Pseudomonadati; Spirochaetota; Spirochaetia; Spirochaetales; Spirochaetaceae. The record is from RNAcentral.